GGAGGCGUACCCAAGAGGCUGAAGGGGGCUGACUCGAAAUCAGCUAGGGCGUCAAUCGGCGUCGCGGGGGUUCAAAUCCUCUCGCCUCCGCCA
This 93-nucleotide transfer RNA is filed under the name Pullulanibacillus sp. KACC 23026. RNAcentral describes it as "tRNA-Ser". It matches the Rfam family "tRNA". Rfam says of the family: Transfer RNA (tRNA) molecules are approximately 80 nucleotides in length. Their secondary structure includes four short double-helical elements and three loops (D, anti-codon, and T loops). The record is from RNAcentral. Lineage: Bacteria; Bacillati; Bacillota; Bacilli; Caryophanales; Sporolactobacillaceae.